UUUUCUUGUUGGCAGGCGGUAAGCAGACAGAGUUCAGCUAAGGGGAUUAGAGCUGCUAUCAGGCAGACGGGGCCAGGAGGGUCCACAGGAAAUGAUCGCGGCCUCAUGCAGGCAGGUUAGGGGCCAGAGUCACCAGACUCGCUGCUGCAACCAGGAGAACAAGAGGAGAAACGCUGGGAAGAGAAAUAACAUGAGUGCUUAAGAAGUCACAAAAGGAAAACCUUGACACAGUGGGAGAGGAAAAGUUGGUUUAAAGAAGGAAGGAACUAUGAUUUUCUAUCAGCUUAAGUCAAGACUCUGACUUUUAUUCAACGGCAUUAAGAGCUGUCAUCAGAAAGGAUCUGCUGGAAGCCACGCGUGUUCCACUGGAAUCUCAGAUCGCGGGAUGCUGAACCAGCACAGCUGUGAAUUGUGUUGAGCUGCGGAGUGAAGAUUGUGAUGCAAAUGCUUCAGGGAGCAGAGUCGUGUAGGAAUGCACCGCUGUCCAAUCCUCCCAGCCAUGCUGUGUUUUCUGCUGCAGAUCAGGGUGGAAAGGAGAUGAAAGAGAGAAGAAAUCUGCCAUGAAUCUGCAGCGGGCAUGCAGCACGGAGAACCGGGGAUUCUGCUGCUCUGGACACGACUAUGUCACUUUUAGAGCAUACUUAGGUGUUAAAGAACAUCCUGAAAAGCGUGCAGUUUCCGCCGCUUGUGUUUAUAAAAACCUCUUUGGAGAGAAAAUGGAGGAGGAGGUGGCAUUUUACCUGCAGGGACAUUCACGUCUCAGUGCUGAGCGACAGCAGCGAUUGGCUCGGCGCAGAGCGAGAACAAAAACGUGUCAUCCUCUGAGCUGUGCUGCAGUUUGAAUUAUUUUAACUCGGGCGCAGAGAUCUGUGACGAUACCCCGACACGACCCAUUAGAAGGAAUCUCUCUCUCACACACACACGCACACGCUCAUGCAAGGGCUCCUGCGCCUUUCAGUAAUGCAAGACUCUGAAAAAAGGACAAUUGUUUAUUUCCCUUCUGGAGAUCUAAUGAGAUCAUUAGUUCCUGCCACCUCCAGCAUCCUGCACACAUGCACCACUCCAUGCUUCUGCUUGGCCUCAGCUCAAAAACAAAAGAUGUAAAUAUUAGGUUUUGGCCAUUAAAAACGAGUUGGAAAUGUGGAAAGAGCAGCAGGGCCACGAGAGGGAGAAGAAGGACAAGUGAGGAGAGCUGGGAGCCGUGGCAGA
This is a long non-coding RNA of Poecilia reticulata (guppy), 1209 nucleotides long. RefSeq lists it as uncharacterized. The record is from RefSeq and is a predicted model, not a curated record. NCBI's taxonomy places the organism in Eukaryota, Metazoa, Chordata, Actinopteri, Cyprinodontiformes, Poeciliidae.